CAGUCGCCGCGGGAACACGUAGGGUGCAAGCGUUAAUCGGAAUUACUGGGCGUAAAGCGUGCGCAGGCGGUUAUAUAAGUCAGAUGUGAAAUCCCCGGGCUCAACCUGGGAACUGCAUUUGAGACUGUAUGGCUAGAGUGUGUCAGAGGGGGGUAGAAUUCCACGUGUAGCAGUGAAAUGCGUAGAUAUGUGGAGGAAUACCGAUGGCGAAGGCAGCCCCCUGGGAUAACACUGACGCUCAUGCACGAAAGCGUGGGGAGCAAACAGGAUUAGAUACCCCCGUAGUCCCUGUCUCUUAUAC
This 301-nucleotide ribosomal RNA is filed under the name uncultured bacterium. RNAcentral's name for it is "partial 16S ribosomal RNA". It matches the Rfam family "Bacterial small subunit ribosomal RNA", at positions 509 to 807 of the family's 1533-position model. The record is from RNAcentral.